Molecule: unclassified non-coding RNA, 370 nt
Filed under: Artemisia absinthium var. absinthium
Lineage: Eukaryota; Viridiplantae; Streptophyta; Magnoliopsida; Asterales; Asteraceae
Description: partial external transcribed spacer
Source: RNAcentral
UUUGGUUUGUUACGUGUGGUUGGCUGCGGCGUUUGCAACAACUUCCAUGCUUUCAGACCUCUUCAGUUGUGCGGCAAGGCUUGUAUCGCCUUGAGCGUGCUGUGGGUUUUCUGUGUUGGCUACCUAAUCAAUGGUAUCGGUUGGAUUGAUCAAAGUUUGAUUUCGUCUUUUGUCGCAUUCGCGGCGUGAGGUGAACCUCGAUGCGGUCUCUUUGAUCCACCUCGUUGAAGCACAUGCCUUGACGUUGUGGCACAUUGAGCAUUGCUUGGUCUCUUGUAUACGGAACAUAUAGUGGGCAUGGAUCUAACGAUUCUCGUUUGCCCUCAUAUUAGCGUAACGCUUCUCUAACACGACUUGCACCACGUUUUAA